Long non-coding RNA from Heterocephalus glaber (naked mole-rat), 2785 nucleotides. The record is from Ensembl. Lineage: Eukaryota; Metazoa; Chordata; Mammalia; Rodentia; Bathyergidae.
GCGGAGGAGGGGCGCCAGGGCGGCGCGGGCCCGGGGCCACCUGCUGGCCGAGCCGCUGCUCCCCGGGGCGCCGCUUCCGCCUGGCCGAGCGCGGCGCCCCGAGGAGGCGGGAGGCCGCGGCGCAGCGCCCUGGGCCGGGCCCGCCGCGGGGCCUGGGCUCGCGGACCCUUGGUCGCCGCCCGCCCCGGAGCUGGAGCCGCCGCGGCCGCGGCUGCGGGCCGGGAACUUACCCUUUGCCGUCUGCGAGGCCGGCGGAGGUGGAGCGCGGGCUCGGUUCCGGCGGACUCGGUCCGAGGGGAGUUGGGGUGCGGGGGCUGUGCCCCAGGUCGAACGCCGGUGCUCGACGGACGCGGGGCGGGGGCGGGUUUGUGUCCCGCGCCUCCUGGGGGCAGCGCCGACCGCGGGCGCCCCGGAGCGGAACGGAAAGGAAUUCGGCCCGGGGAGAGCGUGCUGAACGCGGCGACACGCCGGACCGAAAGCCCCGGCGGGCGUGCGGAGGGCACGGACGGCCCGGCCCUACGGCCCCCGGCUCGGGGAGACCGGCCACUCCGCGUGGCCCUCACCCCGGAAGCAAAACUGGACCAGGGCAGGGUCUGGCCAAGCUGCCCAGGCCGCCCUCCAACUUGUCAUCCUGCCACCUCCGCUGCCCAAGUCCCUGGGAUCACAGGGGUGAGCAGAAUAAAUGCCUCUGUUUAAUCUGCCAUGAAAACUGGAAACUUCUCUCCGCCUUCCUAAACAGUAGUGUGAUAUGGGGAGGAAGAGAGUGAAAGAGAGGUAUCGCACCUGCAGAGGAAAUUAUCAGUUGGAGAGAGGGGACAAGAUGCUUCCCCCUAAGAUCAGGAACAGGACAAGGCCAUCUGCUCUCACCACUCCUAUGCAACGUUAUCUUGAAAGUCUGAGGUACUGCAAAGACAACACAAUGAAAUAAAAGGUAUGCAGGUUGGGAAGUAAGAAAUAAAACUGUCUUUACUGGCAUCUGACGUGAUUGUCUAUGUAGAAAUUCCAAAAAAAUCAAUAGAAUGAAUACUUGAUCGUAGUAAGGACACAAUAUGAGGUUAAUAUAAAAAAGUCAAUCGCAAUUUUAUAUACCAACAAUGAAGAAGGAAUUUGGAACACACAAAAACAUUUACAUUGGCACUUCAAAGGAAAGAGGUUAGGUAUAAAUCUAACAAAAUGUGAAUAAGCUCUAUAAUAGGAAAACUACAAAGCUCUGAUGAAAGAAGAUAUAAAUGAAGAGAUAUACUUCAUGCAUAAAAAUAGGAUGACAAUGCUGCCAACUGUCAUUUCUGACUCCAUCUAUAGACUCAAUGUGUUCCCAAAGAAUAGCACAGAAAUAUGACCACCAAGCUAUUACCAAACUGGUCUUUAGCAAAAGAGUAAAGGCAAUGCAAUGGAGAAUGGACAGCCUUUUCAACAGAUGGUUCUGGAACAAGUGGACAUCUACACACAAAAAGUCACUGCAGACAUCUUUCACAAGUUAAUGAAAUUAAAUCAGACCUAAAUGUAAAACAAAACUAGUAAACUUCCGAAAGAUAAGAGAAGUGAUCUUGGGUUUGGUGAUAACUUCUCAAAACAACAAAAAAAUUCUCGAAAGAAAAAUAAUGACAAUUGACUUCAUUAAAAUUUUAAAAAAUUGUUCUGGGAAAGACAUACAGAUAAUUAAAUGACAAAAUAUAUGAAGAACUCUUCAAACUCCACGGUCCGAAUUUUUUAAAAGGCAGAGGGGAGACCCAAACAGACUUCUCACCAAAGAAAAACAACUAAAUAAAUAUGUAAAGAGAUGUUCAGCACCAUAUGUCAUUAAGGAAUUACAAAUUAAGUCAGCAAUGAGAUACUUCUACACACUUACAUUACAUAGCUAAAAUCCAAAACAGUGAUAACACCAAAUGUCAGUGGAGAUGUGGAGAUCACAGCACCUUUACAACAGUUUGGCCAUUUCUUACAAAAGUGCAUGUACUCAUGUCAUUCCGCAUGAGUUGAAAUUUCCUGUCCACACAAAAAGACUGCACACAAAUGUUUAUAACAGCUUGAUUAAUAAUUGCCAACACUUGAAAGCAACAGAGGGGUUCUUUGGUAGGUGGAUGGAUAAACUGACUGUGGUGUAGCCAUGCAGUGUAAUAUUAUUAAGUGAUGAAGUGAUCUAUAAGGACACAAAAAAGACUUAGUAUAACUUUUUUUUUUAAUUUUUUUUUUAUUUUUGGUACCAGGGAUUGAACUCGGUAUCUUGCACUUGCAAGGCAGGCAGCAGAACCACUGAGCUAAAUCCCUGGCCCGACUUAGUAUAACUUUAAAUGCAUAUUGGGGAGAGAAAGAAGCCAAUCCUCAAAGGCCACACGUAGUAUAGUCCCAUCUCUCUGACAUUCUGGAAAAGGCAAAAGUACAAAGUAGUAAAAAGAUCUGUGGUUGUUGAGAGUCACAGGGAGGGAAAGAUGGCUGAGUAGGUGGAGCGCUGGGGAAUUUUAGGACAGUGAGACUGCUGUGUGAUGCCCUCACGAUGAGUGCACAACACUGUACCAUUGUAAGGCCCUUAAAAUGUACAGCACUCUGAUGUAAACUACAGUCUAGUUAAUAAUAAUGUGUCUGUAUCGGCUCACCCAUGAUAACAAGUGCACUAUAAUAAUGCAAGGUGUUACUAGAGGAAAUGUAGAGAGUGAGUUCUCUAAAAUGAUAGUUUAUUGAACACAAUUUUUAAUUAAAAGGAGAAAUUUAAAAAUCAAUUCUUUGAGGAAUUUGUUGCAGUGAUAGAAAUGUCUGUAUCUGGACUAGAUUGGUGGUCAUACGUGCG